This 1372-nucleotide ribosomal RNA is filed under the name uncultured bacterium. RNAcentral describes it as "bacterial SSU rRNA". It matches the Rfam family "Bacterial small subunit ribosomal RNA", at positions 28 to 1381 of the family's 1533-position model. The record is from RNAcentral.
GAUGAACGCUGGCGGCGUGCCUAAUACAUGCAAGUCGAGCGAACGGACGAGAAGCUUGCUUCUCUGAUGUUAGCGGCGGACGGGUGAGUAACACGUGGAUAACCUACCUAUAAGACUGGGAUAACUUCGGGAAACCGGAGCUAAUACCGGAUAAUAUUUUGAACCGCAUGGUUCAAAAGUGAAAGACGGUCUUGCUGUCACUUAUAGAUGGAUCCGCGCUGCAUUAGCUAGUUGGUAAGGUAACGGCUUACCAAGGCAACGAUGCAUAGCCGACCUGAGAGGGUGAUCGGCCACACUGGAACUGAGACACGGUCCAGACUCCUACGGGAGGCAGCAGUAGGGAAUCUUCCGCAAUGGGCGAAAGCCUGACGGAGCAACGCCGCGUGAGUGAUGAAGGUCUUCGGAUCGUAAAACUCUGUUAUUAGGGCAGAACAUAUGUGUAAGUAACUGUGCACAUCUUGACGGUACCUAAUCAGAAAGCCACGGCUAACUACGUGCCAGCAGCCGCGGUAAUACGUAGGUGGCAAGCGUUAUCCGGAAUUAUUGGGCGUAAAGCGCGCGUAGGCGGUUUUUUAAGUCUGAUGUGAAAGCCCACGGCUCAACCGUGGAGGGUCAUUGGAAACUGGAAAACUUGAGUGCAGAAGAGGAAAGUGGAAUUCCAUGUGUAGCGGUGAAAUGCGCAGAGAUAUGGAGGAACACCAGUGGCGAAGGCGACUUUCUGGUCUGUAACUGACGCUGAUGUGCGAAAGCGUGGGGAUCAAACAGGAUUAGAUACCCUGGUAGUCCACGCCGUAAACGAUGAGUGCUAAGUGUUAGGGGGUUUCCGCCCCUUAGUGCUGCAGCUAACGCAUUAAGCACUCCGCCUGGGGAGUACGACCGCAAGGUUGAAACUCAAAGGAAUUGACGGGGACCCGCACAAGCGGUGGAGCAUGUGGUUUAAUUCGAAGCAACGCGAAGAACCUUACCAAAUCUUGACAUCCUUUGACAACUCUAGAGAUAGAGCCUUCCCCUUCGGGGGACAAAGUGACAGGUGGUGCAUGGUUGUCGUCAGCUCGUGUCGUGAGAUGUUGGGUUAAGUCCCGCAACGAGCGCAACCCUUAAGCUUAGUUGCCAUCAUUAAGUUGGGCACUCUAAGUUGACUGCCGGUGACAAACCGGAGGAAGGUGGGGAUGACGUCAAAUCAUCAUGCCCCUUAUGAUUUGGGCUACACACGUGCUACAAUGGACAAUACAAAGGGCAGCGAAACCGCGAGGUCAAGCAAAUCCCAUAAAGUUGUUCUCAGUUCGGAUUGUAGUCUGCAACUCGACUACAUGAAGCUGGAAUCGCUAGUAAUCGUAGAUCAGCAUGCUACGGUGAAUACGUUCCCGGGUCU